RNAcentral lists this long non-coding RNA (659 nucleotides) under Sus scrofa (pig). Its description in RNAcentral is "lncRNA (ENSSSCG00015011076.1)". The record is from RNAcentral. Lineage: Eukaryota; Metazoa; Chordata; Mammalia; Artiodactyla; Suidae.
GGUGGCUGGCCUGACCUUGAUCAUCUGCCUGUGGGGCUCCCUGGGGCACAGUUGGGAAUUUGUCCAUGGCACUGGGGCCUGGGCAUGGGAGGCAAGGCCGGGCAGUGGGAGGUGCCCUGAAUUGGUGAUCCAGCCACUUAAGCACUGAACCUCAAUACAGGAGACGUCACAGGAUUGCUGUAAGGAUCUAAAGAGCUGCCUCAGAAGAGAAGAAGGAACGGACACAAAUGAAAAUCAGAACACUAAAGAGAUUCAAAGAUUUGUCAUUUCCCUUCUGCUCAUGAAGGCCCUUGAUAGCUACACACGCAGUCAAGGCAACAAGCAAACCUUCCACAUCCACGGUGGAUGGAGGUGCUCUUGAAAGGGGAGCCUUAGGAUGAAGGCAAAGGAAAAUGACCAGAAGGAAAGGACGGUGGGAGCGUAAAGAAGACUGACCUUGCACGGGGAAGGUGUGGACUUCUAGCCCAGCUAGAACUGGACGUCUGCUUCCCCGACCCCAUGUCCUUGAGAAGGUCAGCUUCGAAGCCUCAGUCUCCCCACCUAUGAAACGAGGAUGCGGGUCUCCAACUCACCCACAGUGCGGCCCCCUCGAAAGACUCACGUGGUUUAAUGACUCGUAAAGCACACAUCAUAAACGGCACCCACGUUCUAGAAGGCUU